GUUUGCAUUUGGGCAUGUGUCAAAAAAUGCAGAUAUGUGAAUACUAGUUAUGCAUCUGUAUUCAUACAGGAGAAACCACUUUGAUGUUUGUUAGAGAUGUAAAAUUAUUCUUGGGGCCCUCAUCUAUAAACUUAAACUUUUAAAAUUGCAUAGUUUCUUGACAUGGUAUUAGGGGUUUCUUUGACCAAAAUCUCCAUAGUUCGAGUCUUAGCCACCUCCAUUUAUUAAUUAAAUAUUUUAGCAUAAGGUAAAGUGGGCCUAUACUUGUUCACAUGCUUCAAGCCCAAUGCGCAUUUGCGUUGGGGGGGGGGGGGGGGGU
This 319-nucleotide unclassified non-coding RNA is filed under the name Hevea brasiliensis (rubber tree). Lineage: Eukaryota; Viridiplantae; Streptophyta; Magnoliopsida; Malpighiales; Euphorbiaceae. The record is from RNAcentral.